This is a long non-coding RNA of Heterocephalus glaber (naked mole-rat), 10058 nucleotides long. Lineage: Eukaryota; Metazoa; Chordata; Mammalia; Rodentia; Bathyergidae. The record is from Ensembl.
CAAGAAACAAGUCUCUGUUCUUUUAAAUUACUCGGUCUCAUAUUCUUAGCAGAAAAUGAACUAAGGCAGUGUAUAUUUUGCAAACCUGGGUUCGUAAGCUGGGGUUUGUAUCACUACUGUAAUGGUCAUUGACACAUAAGGAAACUGAGGUCUAGAGAAGCUGAAUAACUGGGUUAGUGCCAUGUAACUACUAAGUUACUAAUGUGAGAUUUGAAGACAGAGCUUCCUGAUUCCAUGUGAUUCCAGAGCCCUAUGUUUGUGGUUGAAAGUCUUCACAUACCAAAGGGACCAGCCAGAUAAAGUUCAGGAAUGAAGUAUGUCGGGUCUUCGGAUCUUGGUCUCCAACCAUCACCGUAGUUUGUUUGCGCCUUUGCGGCUCACUCUUAGCCCCAGUGAGCGGGGUGGGGAGAAGAGGUUGCACAUGGGAACCAUGGGAUGGGAGGACAGCACAGAAGAGAGCUCAGGCUCCGUCGUAAGGGGGCAGUUGCUGCAAAGGUCACAAGAAAAUGCUUCCACCUUAAAAACAAAAAUCCAAAGUCCAAACUUUUCUGUAAAAUCUGACUUGGACACAUUUGAUUCUUUUACUAGGAAUUCAAAGGAGUGUCUAGCAAAAUGUGUCUCCACGCCCUUGGCUUGUGUCACUGCUCUAUCUCAGAGCCCCAUACCCCACCCCAGAAAAAAGGCCUAGAGCCUGAGCCUCGGGCAUCUAAAGAAGCCAGGGUUUGAGAUGCAGGGGUCUCUGCAGGAGGAACCAGAGCUUCCCUGAGGGCAGGACUGACUCAGCCUAUGGAGGAAGGAGCAGAAGAGGAUUUGGGAGGAAAGUUAAGCCCGCAUCAGUUUUCCCUCCUUCUCCCUUGGGCAGAAGGGGGCAAGGGUUCUCCUCCAUCGCAUGGGUGUUCUGGGAAGAGGUGGGUGGUGGGGAAAACUUGGAGUUCUUGCUGGUGAGGAGGAAGAGGGCUCUCCCAGCUGAGCUUCUGAAGGCCGCAAGGUGCUGGGGUCUGUGGUCUGGCCUGAACCCAUCUCCCCAACACGGGGUGCAAGGGCCUCAUCCCGCACCCCCAACAACACCACCCUGCAGAAGCUGCCUGGUUCUGCUCUUCCCCACACCCGACCUAGCCCAGGAGAAGGUUCAGCCCACCCACACACCCCCCUUCAGGGCGGCCAUGCUUAGCAACCCAGCCAGUGCCCUGUCUCUGCCCUGGCAAGAUGCUCUCUGGAAACCUCAGAAUGACUGGGCCCGCAGCCCCGCUUCCUCUCCUGACCGCAUCCUGCAGCACACAGCCCGGGCAGGUGCAGGAGGGCACUGCCCAGCGGCCCCUGCAACUGUGACCAGAACCCUCUUGGUGACACAGGCUGGGCAGAGGCGGGUGAGUGAAACACAGACAACCAACUUAGGGGGCCAAGCCUGGGGGCUCACCCCAGUGCCACAGGGGAAUAGAACCCCAAAACUGGGGCACACAGUGGGGCUCAGGCCCCGGAGUUACACGAGAAAGGAAGCCCCUCCCCCAGGUCACAAUAGCACCCUCUGGCUUCUAGAUGUUUACAAGUUCCUUUCUCCCUUCACUCUCCCCAGUAACUUCUUUCAUUUUUCCUUUCCCUUCCCUGUUUCUUUCUCUGUCUUCUUCAUCUCCUGGCUCCUUGGGUGCCUACAGGAUUUCAGGGGCCACAGGCCAGUGUCCUCAGGGGUGGGGUAGAUCACUGGCCCCUACUGACACAAGCAUGUGGCUCAUUCUUUGUGGAACCACCAAAGAGUGACAGCAGUGGGCUCCCUAGUCUAGCUCAGUGGCUUUCUGGGUGCCUUGGAGGAAGAGUCCUGAGGGUGGACGUGAUUGUGUGCACUUGUGUGGGGUGGGGAGCGGUGUGGCAGAGUGGCCUGGAGGCUCUCAUCUAGCCUGGGACCUUUCCUUGCUUCCUGUGGCCCUGCUGGUGGAGACUUGAAUCUCCCCUCCUGGGAGGGCAAAAUCUGACCCCUCUCACUGUGAGCCUAAAGCCCCUGCCUACUUCUGUCCCCUCUGGGGGUACCCACCACAAGCCCUCAUGCAUUCUAUGGGUGUUCUCUUGUUUCCAGAGACCCAAAGAGAGUUGGAACUUUAGGGAAGGAGUGAAUUGUGUUAAAAACAAUGGAAAUACAAAGAUAAAAGCUAAAUUCAGAAGCGGGGAGGCAGAGAUUGUCCAGUGGCUGCAGCCAGCCAGCACACCCCCUGGGAAAGCCCACACCUGCUUGGAGUCAGAUGUCUCAGGGUGGAGCCACUGUCUUCUCCCUGGCAGUGGUGUGUGUGGUAGAGAUGUCCCAGGCUCCUGGGAACAGGCUGAAGCUCAGGCCCAGUGGGGGCUGCAGGCCGAAGACAGGUUCCUGGCAACAGAAAGGGGAGGGAAGGAUCUGCCACCAGACAAAGUACAGCACAUUUAAUUAAAUGGUCUAGUUGGCUUCUAUUUGUGAUUCGUGAGUAGGGCAGGAUCCUCUAAAGACUUAGUAAAGGUGCUUAGAUGAGCUGAACAGAAGGGUGGGCUCUGUAGCAGAGGAGGAAGGCAGAAAGAGCCAGAAAGCAAUCAGGAAGCAUCAGGUUACUUGGGUUACUUUCCUGGUAAAGGUUAACUUCCUAAUCGCGCUGGCUGAUACUGGCCUGCUCAGGGAUUCAGCAACCUACCAUCUCCCUCUAUCUCCUGAUUUCUCAAGUCAGGUGAACAAUUUAGCUUUGGUUUGAUGGCACUGAACUUUAGUAUGAGUGGCUCCAUUUACGUUGGUUUGUUGGGCCAAGGACAGAAGCUCAGUCCACAUUCAUUGCCUUCUAUAGUUUUUAUUUAACAUUGUGAAUAACGCUUUCCAAAGGCCUGGCUCACUUGGGGCUUUUCAUCACUUUAUACUUUGUGACGAUAAAUAGCUCAGGUAUGUAAUAUAAGAGAAAAUAUGCAUUUUGAGGCUAGAAAUGUAGCACAGUGGCAGAGCACUUGCCUAGCAUAUGUAUGAGGUCCUGGGUUUGAUCCCCAGCACUGCAAGAUGUGUGUGUGUGUGUUGUGUGUUUUGGAGUCAGAGAGUCUUGGUUUCUUUAUCUGUAAAAUGGGUAUGCUAGGAGCCUCAUAGGACUGCAGCGAGGAUAAUGAAAUCACAGAGAUAGAAUGCUUUUUAGCAUCACUCUUUGCACAUAGUAAGCACCCAAGUGGUUUUUAAAAAAAGAUAUUUUCCCACAUUUUUAGUCUUAAAAAACCUUUUUCUUCUUGCUCACAUUCUAAUCACCAGAUUAGAUAAUAAUAAUAUAUCUUAUUAUAAUUUUAUUUAUGAAUAUAAUAACGCAAUUUUGUCUCGAUAAUUACAUCUUUCAUGGUCCAAACCUGUUCGUCAGUGACCAAGUUUCACUUCCUGUGGUUUUGUGAGUGGGGGCUUCGAAGGGCAACCUCCUUCCACAUGGGGGGCCUGGGCCAUGGCAUAGCUGAGCUCCUCAGAAACGAACAGUGCUUCACAACUCUGACUUCUUUUUUUUUUUUUUUUCUUUUGGUACCAGGGAUCAAACUCGGGUCCUUGCAGUUGCACAGCAGGCGGCAAAACCACUGAGCUAAAUCCCCGGCAUCUGACUUCUCUUAAGACACACGGCAUGAUGAGAAGGGAGUGUGUUCUGAAGGAAGGAUGCUUUUAAUUGCAGUCAGAUGCUGUCUAGUUCAACUGCAGUGGCCCAUAAACCUGGCCAUGUGUGACCUCCUCCUCAUCCUCUCCUCGCUCGAGCUUGGACCCAGCCGGCACUAUCCCAUUCCUCUGAGACUGGCUCUCGAAGGGCCUCAUUCUGGAGUCCAGGCUGGCCUUGAACUCAUGAUGCUCCUGUCUCACCACCGAGUGCUGCUGGGAUGUACCCAUGUGCCACCAUGCCUAGGCCCCUGGCAUAUUUUUUAAUCAUGUCAGUCCCUUGAAGAAAUCAGGUCAGUUGUCUCAUGAAAUAUCCUAUAUUCUGUGUCUUAUCUGCUUGUGUUCUCCCUCGUGUCAUCAUUUCUCAUGCCCCUAACCCUUUUAUUUCCUGUCACCUGAAUUUGGCACAAAAUGUUUGCCUAGAUUCAAAUUUAUCAUUUUGGGCAAGAAUACUCCGUGGAUGGUGCCAGACGCUUCAUCCUUCCCCUCAUGGAGUCAAGUAACAACCGGUUGUUUCUCUGAAUAGCGACGCUAGUUGAGCUGUUGGUUCCCCUCACCAUCCCACUGUGCCUGCCGGGCGUUACUGGGAAACCCUCUGGGUGCCCUCCUGGGAUUUGCACUACCCAAGCUCCCGGUAGCCUCUCUCCUGGUGGUGAGCAGCCAGCCACUGAUGAUUGUUGCUUGAAUCAAUUACUUUAUUAGAGAUUGUAAAGGUGAUUUUCUAUUUCUUUUAAAAUAUUUUUUACUGUUAAAAAGCAAUAGAAUUCAAGCCAGAUGUGGUGGUGCACAUCUGUAAUCCUAGCAUUCUAGGAGGCUGGGGCAAGCAGAUUGCAAGUUCAAGCACAGCCUGAGCGACUUAGCGAGACCCUGUCUUAAAAAAAGUAAUAACAAAAGGGGCUGGGGAUUUAUCUCAGUACAAAGGCCCUGUGUUCAGUCUCCAGUAAAACACACACACACAAACACACACACAUAUUAAACUUCAUUUAAAAUGGUCACCUUUUUACUGACCUAUCUUCCAAAUUCAGCCCGUGUUAUAAGAAAAUCCCACCAAGACACCCAUAUUGAUUUAUUAUUAUUAUUAUUAUUGUCUUUGUUUUGGUUUUGGUUGUUCUCUGGGAUUGGAUCUAGGGCGUUUAUCCUGAGAUACAACCCCAGCCCUUCUUUAAUUUUUUUUUUUUUAAUUUUUGGUACCGGGGAUCGAACUCAGUACAAUUUUUCAUUUUGAAACAGGGUCUCACUAUGUUGCCCAGGCUGCUCUUGAACUCGAGAUCCCCUUGGAGUGCAUGGGUUAGAGGUGUGUGCCACCACACCCAGCUUGAUUAAUUGUGUCAUAAAAGUGACUUCCCUGCUAGUGCAGCGUACCGGGGAGCCCUCAGCAGACCUGCUUAGUCCCUCUCCCUCUCCCAACGCGCUCUGAGAGUGCAGACAGGACGUAUGUAUGGCUCUCUGUGUGGGCUCACAGAGAGACAGGCUCUUAGAUGUCAAAAGCAUUUAGAAGUGUGCCGAUAAAUGUAUUUUACUUGCCCAAGUGAUGUAAGUAAGUUGUUUUCUCCUUGGUCUCCUUUUGAUGAGUUUGUUUAUGAAUUGUCUCUUUUUUUUGGUGGGGAGGGAUUGUUUUGCCUCGGUUGUUUAAUUUAAUUUUUUUUUUUUGGUACUGGGGAUCGAACUCUGGACCUUGCGCUUGCAGGCAGGAGGCUGAACCACUGAGCUAAAUCCCCAGCCCUUGGUUGUUUAAUUUUAAAUUAAUAAGCAUGUGCUUCUAGGCUUUUGGUGGGCAUAUUUCAUAAAAUAUUCUUUAAAAUUUCACAGCAGUGUGUUAGAGAAUUCUCUGGAGGGCAGGCCGGACUCUCACUCCAGAGAGACGGUGUCUCUGUCUGUUCACCGUCUGCCACCUCGUCGACACGCUGGCCAAUCAGUGCCCCCAAUCAGUGAUACACAAGUGACCAGUUCACAGCACAGCACUUUUUAUGCUUUUUAAUUUCAAGAAAAAGACACAGAGAAAGAAAAAACUCAAAGUCUACACAGCACGCAGUUUUAUUUCCCUCUUUUACACCCGUAAAUCCAUAAUUUCCAUCUUCUUUUUGUUGGGAUGGAGACUCAAAUAAUAAGUUGUUUUGUGGCUUUGGGAAUUUACUUCAUUUCUUUACCCCUGUGACUCUGCAUGCUUUCAAGGCCACGAAACAUAGUAACACAAAUUAAAGGUUUGUGGCAUCAAUGAAUUUGAGAAGACAAAUCCAAAACUAUGGUAGGAUUCAAUUCCAUUUAGCAAAUGUUUCUAUCGUUUAUUUUCCUCAUGAUAAUUAUUGUACAUAUAAUGCUUAAGUAGGCCAGAUAAUUUUUUUGUUGUUGUUGGGAUCGAACUCAGGACCUUAUGCUUGUGAGGCAGGUGUGGUGGCACUGAGCCAAAUCCCCGGCAAGGGCCAGAUAAUUUUAAAUACCCCUUAUACCCUAUGACAGAAGUGGCAAACCUAUGACACACAUGUCAUUUGUUUUCUUCUAAGAUAAAAGAUAUUAGCAUAUGAGUUUUUUUCUAAACUAAAACCUCUGUAUUCAGUUUAAUUGCAGUGUUGUCACUUUGUGAAAUAAGUGGGUUUUGGGUUACAGUUUGGGCACUCGCCUCUAGAAGGUUCUCCAUCACUGGCCUGUGAGCCAAAGCAGAUGAGGAUUCUGAGGAAAGAGAAACUUAAACUCGGUCACAGGCAGCGAGAGGCAGAGCCGGCUCUCAAACAGUAUCGGCAGCAGAGUUUGUGCCCUUAGCUCCUGCAUGUGGUCACUAACAAGCACUUACUUUCAUUAGGUACCGAGCUACUUUUCAAAGUGCUUUCAGAGUGCAUUUUCACAAGUCCUCAGCAGAUUCAGUCUUUUGAAGGGUCACGUGAUCACACAGGGCAGGAGAUGGGACCCUGAAGGAGGGGGCGGGGAAAGGGGGGUUGUUCAGUUUGAAACACACAUUCAAAGCUGCCUGAGCUGACAGGAAAGAGUCACUGCAGCAUAUUUAUAAAAACAAAAACUCCCAGGCAACUUCAACGUCUAAUAAAGGAAGGAUGGUUUAGUUACACUAUGGUCUAGUCACUGAAUGAAAACUUCGAGAAUGACAGUUAUGACUACAUCGAGGCAUCAAAAGAUGUUUAGAAUGUUUUGCAAAAUAAAGCUGAACACACAGAUGACAGCAAUGUAAAAUGUGAUCGCAGUAGAGAAGGGUCAGAAAGAGGAGGCACAAAAGUGAAAAUUAUUGCAAUUUGGGUGGAGGACCUUGAGUUAUUUUAUUCUUCAUAUUAUGUUUUCUCUCUUUGUGGUUAUAAUUUUAGAAAAGGAGACCCGGAAAGAUUUGGGGCAAGAGUUUAUAUAAAGAACAAGACUUGAUUAAAAAAGAAUUUGUCUGGCCAGACGAGUCGGCUACACUGGUCUAUGACUUUGUGUCCCAGGAUCCCGGAUGGGUGCUGCCUGGGGCUCCCUGCUUGCUUUGCAUCUGCAGGUUGUUUGGGGCAACAGUGAUAUGAACAGAGGGAAAAGGGGACUGUGCCCUUCGCAGACAGUCAUUUUCAGAGCAGAGUGGGCUAGAUGAAUCAGCCCUGUCUAGCACAUCCACCCAGGGCAAACCACAGCCUCUGCCCAGAGCCGGGCAGCCCCAUCUCAAGUCUGCGCUUCAGCUUUGCUGCCUAUUGAAGCCAAGCAGCAUCUUCCCCAGCUCUGCCUCUCGCCAGCUAGGGCUACCAGGUUCCCGGGGAGCAGUGGGGUCAGCACUGCUUCUCCCUAGUCCUGCCCGGCACCCAUGGUGCGCGAACAUACUGUCCACCUCCACCGGGAAAGGGUGCUGGUCUGGGAACAGAAGCAACGUGAUUUCCAUGCAGGGUUAGUGACAGACAGCCGUACCCUGACGCACCCUUAGAUUUAAUAGUGACUAAUGACAAACUGUGAGCCAGGCACCAGCACACCGGUGAGGACUGAGGGGGGGGGUUAAGCCUGAAACUAGAAGGCAUGAAUUUUAAACUCCACUCCCACGUGUGUGACCUUGGCAAAUUCUGGACUCUUGGACUUGGUUCCCCUGCCUGCAAAAUGGGAGCAAGAACUUUAGGCAAAUGAUAUAAAUUUUUCAAGACUUUUUUUUUCAAUCUGUAGAACAGGGACAAUAAUAUCAAAAUUUUGUGAAAGUAACAUCUAUAGGGCUGUUGGCUCAGUACCUCUUAUGUAGUAUGAGCUCAAUAAAUAUUAGUCAUUGACUUAACACCUACUUUAGCGGGAUGCUGCAGUGAGACAUGUAUAAGCGGUCUUUAAAAUAAUACACUAAGAUCAUAAAAUAGUUUUCAAGUUGGGCAGAUACCAAAUCUUUAUUUUUUUUUUUGGUACCAGGGAUCAAACUCGGGACCUUGUGCCUGCCCUGCAGGUGGUGGCCCCACCAAAUCUUCUUUAAAAAUGAUAACGCCUAGUGUUUGUGAAGGGUGUGGUGAGCGGGUGCUCUGGAUGAACUUUAAAGCAUGUUGGUAUUUUGGCAGCUGAACAUACUGUUCACACAUUCUACGCAGUUCACCAUCGUAAUAUCACUUCUAGAAAUCUGUCGAGAGAAAAGAAUCAGAAAUGAGCAGUAAGAUUUUUGUACAAGGAUGUUCAUCACUGAAUUGUUUAUAAAUAAAAAAAGCAUAAAGUAUUAGGGGCUUAAAUUUAAAAGAUUACAUUUAUAUCAUAUGCAAUGUAACUUUAAAGACAUGUUUUAGAAUAACACUUAAUAAUGUGAUAAAAUACAUGUCAUUAAGUGAAGAAAACAGGCAACAAAAUAAUGAUUGUAAAUACAGUAGCAGGGCUAUGGGUGGAUGUAGCCCAGUGGUAGAGCCCUUGCCCUGGGUCAGAUCCCUAGUGCACACAUGAAAAGUGCGCCUAUGUACGAAUAUAUAAACAAAUAGCUACUGAAUGUCAACCAUUUGGGAAUAUAAUUGAUUCAGUCUUUGAUCUCAUAGAUGAACCCCAAUUUAUCUGGAGAAAAACAUAUACAUGCGUAUUUUUAUAUAUAGAGAAAAAUAUAGUAUCUUCAUGGUGAAAUAAUAGGUGUUUUUUUUAUAUUUUCCGGUGGUUUCCUUUUUCAAAAAACAAAGAAUCUGGGUGUGGUGGUGAGCACCUGUGGUCCCAGCUACUUGGGAGGCUGAAGCAGGAGGAUGGCUUGAGCCCAGAGUUUGAAGCCACCUCUGCCCUGGAGCGGAACCCCCGUAUUAAAACACCAAAAGAAGGAGAGCGGGCAUGAUUUUAAUAAUCAUGGGGGAGCUCUUGACAUUUUUAAGGGGAGGGAGAGGUCAGGGGACCUGGCACUAUGUGUAGAGGGUGCCCCAGCAGCAAGCUAUCCGAGCCAUGUUGGGCUGAGACUGUCCCCAGGCCUCAGUCUCAUCAGCAAACACAUGAAGCUGAUCAUUCCUGCUUGCCACAGGUCAUGAGAAUCCAGGAAAUCAUGUGCAUGUGCUUUUUAAAAUACACAAUGUGCUACACACUAAUAUUAGGUUCAGCAGGUGGCUUCCCACCUCUGGCCCUCCGCAUCGUCAUUCUUAGAAUGGACAAAAUGAGCUUCCAGUUCUGAAGCCCAGUGACUUAACGUAAGUUCGAAUCUCAGAAGGUUCGAUUACAAACUCAGUGUGUACUCUCUGAUUUUGCAGAUAAUGGAGGGGAAGAAGGAUCUUACAUCUCUGCCUUCUUCUCCUCCAGUUACCGAGCAUUUCCUGGGCUCCUCGCCACUGGUGCCACUGGCGCCAUUUGGGGGUGGGGCUGGGGGAGCUCUAACAUGCAAGAUGUCCUCACAGUGUCCAGGGUCCUCGCUCAGCCCCUGGAUGGACUGGGUGGGUGGACUGAGUCACAUCCCCAUCACCCAGCCGUGCCAGCCUUCUGAACUCCCCAAAUCACUCAUCAGCCUGCAGGGGCCCUGGUUCCCACACUGUGCCCUGAGAACAGACCCAGGGGUCGAGGGAAGUGAGGAGAAAGCUCAGAAUUAGUCACAAGAAGCGAGACAGCCACAGAGCCCGUGUGCCAGCCUGUGCCCAGAGGCUGACCUUUCGGAACCUCCUGAGGCUCUCCCCAACACCUCUCCAAAGCUAUGACAUGGGGAGGGGACGCCUUGGCCCCUGAACACCAGCACAGAGCGCAGCACGGCGCGUGGGCUUCUAAUCUAAAGCACCCGCUGCUGACAAAGUGCUUUCAAGAACAUGAACAUUUCCUUUGAUCUGUGAGGCAGCCUGAGCAGAUACUAUCAGCUCCAUUGUUCAGAUGGAGCCAGGGAGGCUGAAGCUCAGGGGACCGAGGUGGGGGUGGACUUCAUCGUGAGGAGCAGGAGCCAGGACCAGGAUCUGACUUUAGCACCCGGGCUUUGGCAGCUUUGAUUUUUGUCAACUGCCCUUUAAAAAUGCUUGUAGAGGGCCGGAGAUUUAGCUCAGUGGUUUCACCACCUGGUGCGCAAGCACAAGGACCC